RNAcentral lists this ribosomal RNA (497 nucleotides) under uncultured bacterium. RNAcentral's name for it is "partial 16S ribosomal RNA". It matches the Rfam family "Bacterial small subunit ribosomal RNA", at positions 28 to 507 of the family's 1533-position model. The record is from RNAcentral.
GAUGAACGCUGGCGGCGUGCCUAAUACAUGCAAGUCGAGCGAACAGAUGAGGAGCUUGCUCCUCUGACGUUAGCGGCGGACGGGUGAGUAACACGUGGAUAACCUACCUAUAAGACUGGGAUAACUUCGGGAAACCGGAGCUAAUACCGGAUAAUAUAUUGAACCGUAUGGUUCAAUAGUGAAAGACGGUUUUGCUGUCACUUAUAGAUGGAUCCGCGCCGCAUUAGCUAGUUGGUAAGGUAACGGCUUACCAAGGCGACGAUGCGUAGCCGACCUGAGAGGGUGAUCGGCCACACUGGAACUGAGACACGGUCCAGACUCCUACGGGAGGCAGCAGUAGGGAAUCUUCCGCAAUGGGCGAAAGCCUGACGGAGCAACGCCGCUUGAGUGAUGAAGGUCUUCGGUUCGUAAAACUCUGUUAUUAGGGAAGAACAAAUGUGUAAGUAACUAUGCACGUCUUGACGGUACCUAAUCAGAAAGCCACGGCUAACUACGUG